RNAcentral lists this ribosomal RNA (497 nucleotides) under uncultured bacterium. Its description in RNAcentral is "partial 16S ribosomal RNA". It matches the Rfam family "Bacterial small subunit ribosomal RNA", at positions 28 to 507 of the family's 1533-position model. The record is from RNAcentral.
GAUGAACGCUGGCGGCGUGCCUAAUACAUGCAAGUCGAGCGAACAGACGAGGAGCUUGCUCCUCUGACGUUAGCGGCGGGCGGGUGAGUAACACGUGGAUAACCUACCUAUAAGACUGGGAUAACUUCGGGAAACCGGAGCUAAUACCGGAUAAUAUAUUGAACCGCAUGGUUCAAUAGUGAAAGACGGUUUUGCUGUCACUUAUAGAUGGAUCCGCGCCGCAUUAGCUAGUUGGUAAGGUAACGGCGUACCAAGGCAACGAUGCGUAGCCGACCUGAGAGGGUGAUCGGCCACACUGGAACUGAGACACGGUCCAGACUCCUACGGGAGGCAGCAGUAGGGAAUCUUCCGCAAUGGGCGAAAGCCUGACGGAGCAACGCCGCGUGAGUGAUGAAGGUCUUCGGAUCGUAAAACUCUGUUAUUAGGGAAGAACAAAUGUGUAAGUAACUAUGCACGUCUUGACGGUACCUAAUCAGAAAGCCACGGCUAACUACGUG